UAGGGAAUCUUCCACAAUGGACGCAAGUCUGAUGGAGCAACGCCGCGUGAGUGAAGAAGGUUUUCGGACCGUAAAGCUCUGUUGUUGGUGAAGAAGGAUAGAGGUAGUAACUGGCCUUUAUUUGACGGUAAUCAACCAGAAAGUCACGGCUAACUACGUGCCAGCAGCCGCGGUAAUACGUAGGUGGCAAGCGUUGUCCGGAUUUAUUGGGCGUAAAGCGAGCGCAGGCGGAAGAAUAAGUCUGAUGUGAAAGCCCUCGGCUUAACCGAGGAAUUGCAUCGGAAACUGUUUUUCUUGAGUGCAGAAGAGGAGAGUAGAACUCCAUGUGUAGCGGUGGAAUGCGUAGAUAUAUGGAAGAAUACCAGUGGCGAAGGCGGCUCUCUGGUCUGCAACUGACGCUGAGGCUCGAAAGCAUGGGUAGCGAACAGGAUUAGAUACCCUUGGUAGUCCAUGCCGUAAACGAUGAGUGCUAAG
RNAcentral lists this ribosomal RNA (474 nucleotides) under uncultured bacterium. RNAcentral describes it as "partial 16S ribosomal RNA". It matches the Rfam family "Bacterial small subunit ribosomal RNA", at positions 355 to 820 of the family's 1533-position model. The record is from RNAcentral.